RNAcentral lists this long non-coding RNA (688 nucleotides) under Marmota monax (woodchuck). The record is from RNAcentral. Lineage: Eukaryota; Metazoa; Chordata; Mammalia; Rodentia; Sciuridae.
CAAAAACCUCUCCAGAAAGUGAUCUGUGGUAAAUAUGUUGCCCAUUUUUAAAUUUCAAACUUUCAAUGCUCCCCUCACCCUGCUCAUAAGAAGCAUUCGGUUAAGACAGUGCGUCCCAAAGUCAGAGGCCGUGCUCCGUGUCACUCCAGCCCAGCAUGCUGAGUGUCCCUUCUUCCUGCUGAGCGAGCCCUGCUUUUGCCUGGGAUCCUCACUUGCUGGUUCUCAGAGGCACCAGCACCAGCCCACAUGUCCCUCCAGGUGGCACCCUUGACCUUUGCUGCCCGCUGAGUCGGAAGGCCAUUGAUGGCACUGAGGGAAAGUGGUGGCCUGGUGCCUGCCGCAGUCUGGCUGGGCACAAAUCACGAGCCACUGAAGCAGGAACAAACUUUAUUUUUGAACUGCAGGAAAACACUUCACACAGCUCCCGGGGAAUCCUCCCAAACGCCACGAGGCUCAUCCAGGAACCCCCAUCCGGAAAUAUCUCUCCCGGAAAUCCCUCCUCCUGCACUUCCCCAACCAAUGGGAACUCUCGGGGAAUCCCCGGAAAUCCCCACGGAGAACUCCAAAUAGUGCGAGAACUCAAAAGUUGCGGCAGAGGCGGAUAGUAAUGCCUUGCCUGUCAAUCAAUACUGUUGGCAAAAUGCCAGGGGCCAUACAGACUCGGCCGUGGCUCUCAGCAGGUGCCCAU